This 710-nucleotide small RNA is filed under the name Pongo abelii (Sumatran orangutan). RNAcentral describes it as "retained intron". The record is from RNAcentral. Lineage: Eukaryota; Metazoa; Chordata; Mammalia; Primates; Hominidae.
GAGGCCUAUAACCUCACGGUGCUGAUCGAGAUGGACGGGCACCGUGCCCUGCUCAGGACGGAGGCCGGGGCCUUCGAGUACGUGCCUGACCCCACCUUUGAGAACUUCACAGGAGGCGUCAAGAAGCAGGUCAACAAGCUCAUCCACGCCCGGGUGAGGACGGUGCAGCCCCGGGGGUCCGGGUCCUGCUCGGGUCUGGGCUGAGAGCUGGUCCACCUGCCCCUGGUUCCCUCUUGCUCACCCCGACCGCUUCCCCCUCCCCAGGGCACCAAUCUGAACAAGGCGAUGACGCUGCAGGAGGCCGAGGCCUUCGUGGGUGCCGAGCGCUGCACCAUGAAGACGCUGACGGAGACCGACCUGUACUGUGAGCCCCCGGAGGUGCAGCCCCCGCCCAAGCGGCGGCAGAAACGAGACACCACACACAACCUGCCCGAGUUCAUUGUGCGUGAGCGGGGGCGGGCGGGGGGUGCCCCCACGGGACCGCGCUGAACCCGGCCCCCCACACAGGUGAAGUUCGGCUCUCGCGAGUGGGUGCUGGGCCGCGUGGAGUACGACACACGGGUGAGCGACGUGCCGCUCAGCCUCAUCUUGCCGCUGGUCAUUGUACCCAUGGUGGUCGUCAUCGCGGUGUCUGUCUACUGCUACUGGAGGAAGAGCCAGCAGGCCGAACGAGAGUAUGAGAAGAUCAAGUCCCAGCUGGAGGGCCUGGA